UACGAAGGGGGCUAGCGUUGCUCGGAAUUAUUGGGCGUAAAGCGCGUGUAGGCGGCUUUGCAAGUCGGGUGUGAAAGCCCUCAGCUCAACUGAGGAAGUGCGCCCGAAACUGCAGAGCUUGAGUGCCGGAGAGGGUGGCGGAAUUCCCCAAGUAGAGGUGAAAUUCGUAGAUAUGGGGUGGAACACCGGUGGCGAAGGCGGCCACCUGGACGGUAACUGACGCUGAGACGCGAAAGCGUGGGGAGCAAACAGG
RNAcentral lists this ribosomal RNA (253 nucleotides) under uncultured bacterium. RNAcentral describes it as "partial 16S ribosomal RNA". It matches the Rfam family "Bacterial small subunit ribosomal RNA", at positions 524 to 776 of the family's 1533-position model. The record is from RNAcentral.